RNAcentral lists this ribosomal RNA (631 nucleotides) under uncultured bacterium. Its description in RNAcentral is "bacterial SSU rRNA". It matches the Rfam family "Bacterial small subunit ribosomal RNA", at positions 104 to 749 of the family's 1533-position model. The record is from RNAcentral.
GGGUGAGUAACGCGUAAGGAACUUGCCUCUUGGUCUGGGACAACUGUUGGAAACGACAGCUAAUACCGGAUAUUAUGAGAUUCUCGCAUGAGAAACUUAUGAAAGCUAUAUGCGCCAAGAGAGAGCCUUGCGUUCCAUUAGCUAGUUGGUGGGGUAACGGCCCACCAAGGCGACGAUGGAUAGCCGGCCUGAGAGGGUGAACGGCCACAAGGGGACUGAGACACGGCCCUUACUCCUACGGGAGGCAGCAGUGGGGAAUAUUGGACAAUGGGCCACAAGCCUGAUCCAGCAAUUCUGUGUGCACGAUGAAGGUCUUCGGAUUGUAAAGUGCUUUCAGUUGGGAAGAAGAAAGUGACGGUACCAACAGAAGAAGCGACGGCUAAAUACGUGCCAGCAGCCGCGGUAAUACGUAUGUCGCAAGCGUUAUCCGGAUUUAUUGGGCGUAAAGCGCGUCUAGGCGGAAAAAUAAGUCUGAUGUUAAAAUGCGGGGCUCAACUCCGUAUUGCGUUGGAAACUGUUUUUCUAGAGUACUGGAGAGGUGGGCGGAACUACAAGUGUAGAGGUGAAAUUCGUAGAUAUUUGUAGGAAUGCCGAUGGAGAAGUCAGCUCACUGGACAGAUACUGACGCUGA